UUUUUUGUGUGUGGAAUCAUGAUACUUACAAUUUCUUCAGAGACGUCAAACCGUUAAAGAUAUUGACGUCAAUUGUUACAAUUUGGUUGUAAUCAGCCACCUGUAAAAUAAAAUGUUUUAAAUCGUUUUCUUGCAUAAAAUUGUCAAUAUUCAUCUAGGUAAACACAAAUACCUAAGAAAAAGAGCAGUAGUAGUAUAUCUAUUUUAAAACUGGUUGUAAUGUUUCAUACUGUUGUAACACUGACAGACGUUUAUCAUGUCAACACUAGCUAUUUUGCAUGUAUGACUUAACUGAUUGAUGC
This 302-nucleotide long non-coding RNA is filed under the name Mytilus galloprovincialis (Mediterranean mussel). The record is from RNAcentral. Lineage: Eukaryota; Metazoa; Mollusca; Bivalvia; Mytilida; Mytilidae.